This is an RNA transcript of Mustela erminea (ermine), 2502 nucleotides long. It is a transcript of the gene named proline-rich protein 2-like, with no coding region annotated. The transcript is spliced from 5 exons. The record is from RefSeq and is a predicted model, not a curated record. NCBI's taxonomy places the organism in Eukaryota, Metazoa, Chordata, Mammalia, Carnivora, Mustelidae.
AGAAAAUGCUUCAAACAAGUCGCUCGGCAGCCCGGAGCCUGUUAACCCGUGCAUAAUGCCCCGCGUGGAGCAUCCCGGGCAUGUCGCGCGGCCACGCUGAUGCACUGCGGGCGGGCGCCGCGCGGAGCCUCCCCGGCCGCCGCCGCCGCUCCGCUCCGCUCCGCUCGCCUCCCCGCGCCGCUCCGGACCCCGGAUUCCGCUGCUCGCCGCCGGCCGCCGGCCCUCCUCGCCGCCGCCUCCAGGCCCCCUCUCUCGCGGGCGGAAUUCCAAAUGCCGGCGGGCCGCGGCCAGCGCCCGGAGAGGAGGCAGCGCGCGACCGCGGGGAGAGGCGCGGACCCGGAGGCUGGCAGGACGCGGGGGCUCCACGGGCCUUGCCUCUCCAACCCCCCCAACCCCCGCCUCCCGGAAGUAAGGCGAGACCCAGAGGGCGCCCAGGGAGCGGGCCUCCUCCCCUCCCCCCGCCUCCCCUCCCCGGGCUGCUGGGUGGGGGGAGGGGGCAGGGCGGGAGGUGGGAAGGGGGACGGGGACCCCGUGAAAGUUUCUUUUUGGCCAUUUGCGGAGGGAGCUGGGGGGAGGGGGGCUCACGGAAGGUGGAGAACUGGCCCUGGGAGGGAGGACGUGACACCCCUCCCGAUGGAUGGCAGGGAGGCACUUGAUAAACUCCCAGGGUCCAGGUGUGGGGGUGGAGGCAGCAUUCCUUUGCCCGAAUUCUGCUCCCAGGUCACACUCGGCCUGGGGUCUCCAGAGGGGAGAUGCGCAACGUGGGGAAGGUAAGGAGCCAUCUAAAACCACAGUGCGUCUGCCGCUGGCCAGCCUAGCGGUAGGGGAACAUUCCAGGGAGUGAGCAAGGAACCCAUCCUCGGAUGGAAGGGCCAGGCGCCCCUUGGAGACCCAGAGAACGAGCAACAAGUAGACCCCCUCCUCCCCCGAACUGCUGCCCCAAGGGUCUGUAUCUGAAGAAAGACAGCUGGGGUUCCAGGUAGGGCUGGCUGCUUGCAUUUCCUCUGGGCUGUGUGUGUGUGUGUGUGUGUGUGUGUGUGUGUGUGUUGCCCCAGGAUUUGCCAGAUGGAAGCACAGCUGGAGAUAGAGGUGAGAGCAAAGGAUUGGGGUUUCAGCUGCCUACCUCCUUUUCCUGAAAAUCCCCUGGAAGUCCGCUCCUGCUAGCAGGUUGGAAGGAACGGAAAGGUCCAGGGGCCACCCCAGUGCACACAGCCAAGCUGGGACAGAGCCACUGGAAGGCGCCUUGUUCAGCCAACCUGGUGUCCCCAGGGCAGGCCAAGCUUAAGUACUCCUUGGAAGGCAUUUGAGAAGAAAGCAGCCUCAGGAGUGUCCCUCCUGGUAGAAUGUUCUCAACGGGUCAGCUCUGCAGCGGGAUGCAGGAUCCCCACAGAGACGAGAAAACUACAGAAGUCGGUCCAAACAGAGAGGACUUUUGGGAUUCAGCUACCAGUUGAUAUGAGCCUUGGGAUGGAUUUAACUUGCUGGGUGGCCUUUGGAAAACCAGGAGGUCCUCUGUGAUGUGAGAAUUUCCUUACCUCCAAGGCUGCUUCUCGGGGAUGCAAGAAUGGAGACCCUCUUCGGAUCCUGAGAAACCUGUGCCCUGUCCUGAAACCAGCUCCUGAGAAGGUGAGGGACACCUCCUACCCCUCAGCCCUGUCCACUGUUUCCCCCACACGGGAGAAAGGAAGACCUCAGUGGAGCCCGAGCCGGUGGAUUCAACAAGGAACUGUGCACCCAAAAAACCUCGGUUGGGGUUACUGGAUGCAAAAUCCUGAGUCUGGAGGCUGUUGACGAGGUUCUCCCCCUUCUUCAUAGACUACCAAAAAAAGAAAAGCUGGUAGAUGCUGAGGUCACGUGUGAAGCAAGUCCUACUUACCUACCCAGUGUUAUUGGGUUAUUCCAUUUUCACUCCCCCUGCCUGAAUGGACAGCUGACCUUGACAUUUCCCAUACAAGCUUUUCUCUGCUUUCCUAAUCUGAUGGGAUAAUGAUGUCAUAAAGAAAUAACUAAAACAGUAGGUGCUUAAUAAAUGCUUUCUGGUGUGAAAUAAGGAAGACAGUCACGGGACAGCCUCCAAACUCUUCCUUACCCUCCAUCAAUUUUUUGAUAGCCAGGUUUGUAAUAGGAGUACUCUCUCCUUUAGCACUGAAUCAGGGGUUCCUUUCUCUUAUUGUGUUUGCUUUCCAUGAGACACACCUACCCCCAGUCUUUUCGUCACCGAAGGCCUGACCCCGCCGGGUAGGCUGAGCAGAGAUUCCUGGAGCACAUCUGACCUGUCCAGUCCCUCUGCUUAAAGACACAAAUUUCCCUCUCACAUGAAAAAAGCAGGUCUGAUUCAAAUCUACCCAAUGAGUAAAAAAUGGUGCCCAGGACCUGAGGCAUCGGCUCCUGAUUUAAUGUUACGUCAUCUCCCUUCUCCAUAGGGCAUGACAGCUCCCCCCCAGUCCCACCACUCCCCGUCCAUUCUCCGUAUUAAUCGCCUUCUCUCAAUACUCUUUAUUG